Molecule: unclassified non-coding RNA, 475 nt
Filed under: Hevea brasiliensis (rubber tree)
Lineage: Eukaryota; Viridiplantae; Streptophyta; Magnoliopsida; Malpighiales; Euphorbiaceae
Source: RNAcentral
GAACUGGUGAAUAAGCAUUAAGAUAACAGCAGCAUCACGGAAUCCAGUUUUGGGGAGAAGAGAGAAGGCGUUAGAAUGAUUGAGUAGUUCAUCGCCGAAAGCCCAGUAGACGGCGGUGGCAGACGGAAUUGUUAGUGUAAAAACGUAGAGUGUAGCUAGUAAAUAUAUGUACUUGAAUUUUUGAGGCUUCCACAUAGCGUGCAUGAUUUCCACUGUAACAGCGUGUCCACCAAACGUAUACAGGAUGUUGGUUGCUCCGGUGAAGUAAAGCACUAGCUUUUUGGGACCAGUGUGCGUUACUCCUUCGACCUGGCCAUGAACAAGUGCUGCUAUGGCUAGGUACCAGGCAGUGUACGUGGUCAUACCAAGGCCAAGAAAAGCCCAAAUCCGGUAGUUGUGAAAAGAGGGUAUGAAAACUGUAGUAGCACAGCAAGCUCCAAAAAUGUAUGUCCAUGUCCUCUUGUCCAAAUGGUCG